Molecule: ribosomal RNA, 500 nt
Filed under: uncultured bacterium
Lineage: Bacteria
Description: partial 16S ribosomal RNA
Rfam family: Bacterial small subunit ribosomal RNA
Source: RNAcentral
GGGGAAUAUUGCACAAUGGGCGAAAGCCUGAUGCAGCAACGCCGCGUGAGUGAUGAAGGUCUUCGGAUUGUAAAGCUCUGUCUUUUGGGACGAUAAUGACGGUACCAAAGGAGGAAGCCACGGCUAACUACGUGCCAGCAGCCGCGGUAAUACGUAGGUGGCGAGCGUUGUCCGGAUUUACUGGGCGUAAAGGGUGCGUAGGCGGAUGUUUAAGUGAGAUGUGAAAUACCCGGGCUUAACUUGGGUGCUGCAUUUCAAACUGGAUAUCUAGAGUGCAGGAGAGGAGAAUGGAAUUCCUAGUGUAGCGGUGAAAUGCGUAGAGAUUAGGAAGAACACCAGUGGCGAAGGCGAUUCUCUGGACUGUAACUGACGCUGAGGCACGAAAGCGUGGGUAGCAAACAGGAUUAGAUACCCUGGUAGUCCACGCCGUAAACGAUGAGUACUAGGUGUAGGAGGUAUCGACCCCUUCUGUGCCGCAGUAAACACAUUAAAGUACUCCG